UUCCGGUUGAUCCUGGCGGAGGUCACUGCUAUCGGGGUUCGAUUAAGCCAUGCGAGUCGAGAGGGUUCGGCCCUCGGCGUACUGCUCAGUAACACGUGGAUAACCUGCCCUAAGGAAGGGGAUAACCCCGGGAAACUGGGGAUAAUACCCUAUAGGUUACAGAUGCUGGAAUGCUCUGUAACCGAAAGCUCCGGCGCCUUAGGAUGGAUCUGCGGCCGAUUAGGUUGUUGUCGGGGUAACGGCCCAACAAGCCAGUAAUCGGUACGGGUUGUGGGAGCAAGAGCCCGGAGUUGGAUUCUGAGACACGAAUCCAGGCCCUACGGGGCGCAGCGGGCGCGAAAACUUUACAAUGCGGGCAACCGUGAUAAGGGAACCUCGAGUGCCUGUAUAUGCAGGCUGUCUGGGUGUCUAAAACACACCUAAAGAAAGGGCCGGGCAAGACCGGUGCCAGCCGCCGCGGUAAUACCGGCGGCUCGAGUGGUGGCCACUUUUAUUGGGCUUAAAGCGUUCGUAGCUGGGUUAUUAAGUCCCUUGGGAAAUCCGACGGCUUAACCGUCGGGCGUCUAAGGGAUACUGGUAAUCUUGGAACCGGGAGAGGUGAGGGGUACUUCGGGGGUAGGAGUGAAAUCCUGUAAUCCUCGAGGGACCACCUGUGGCGAAGGCGCCUCACCAGAACGGCUUCGACAGUGAGGGACGAAAGCUGGGGGAGCAAACCGGAUUAGAUACCCGGGUAGUCCCAGCCGUAAACGAUGUGCGUUAGGUGUAUCGGUGACCACGAGUCACCGAGGUGCCGAAGGGAAGCCGUGAAACGUACCGCCUGGGAAGUACGGUCGCAAGGCUGAAACUUAAAGGAAUGGGCGGGGGAGCAC
This 869-nucleotide ribosomal RNA is filed under the name uncultured archaeon. RNAcentral's name for it is "bacterial SSU rRNA". It matches the Rfam family "Archaeal small subunit ribosomal RNA", at positions 1 to 879 of the family's 1478-position model. The record is from RNAcentral.